CCUGAGGCUUUUUGAAGCUGCUGCUUGGUGAGGGGCACGCGUGUUUUAAAACACUGCAGUGGGGCUGCAGCUGCAUUAGCAGGAGAAAAACCUCAUAUUUGCCCAAAGGAGGAGUCAGAAUCCCAUCUGGAUUUAGCAAGCACUCCCACCCACAGAGGGUAAGGAAGGGUAGAUGUGUGUAUCAGGCCGUGGAUGCUUCCACCCCCAAGACCUGAUUUGCCAUUGAGGGAGCAUUUCUAAUAGUUCAUGCAAAGCUUUUUGUGGAAUAAGGAGAGGAACCAAAGAGAUAAGGAGAGAAAACUUGGAGGAGAAGCACAGCACCAGGCAGCCUACAGCCACAGGAGAGGGGAGGACACCUCUGCAAGGCACCCACAGCACUAUCCAUCCCUAGGGAUGAGCACUGAGCAAGCAAAUGAUGACCCCUGGGGAGGACCUGAAUGGUGAAGGGCAGAAAAGGCAUUUCCCCCAGUGAGGGACCCCAGCUCUCCCCGUCCUUGGCAGUGCUGUCCCCUCCCCACUCACACCCCUGGGGUGGCUGCAUCUCCAUGGGGCUGUAUGUGAUUGCUGCACAGCCCCAUGGGAUGAAAGCUGUGUGCUUAGAUAUGGUUUAUCCCUUCCAACCCCUGAUGAUAAUCCGGGAUUAGUCCUUCCAGCGUAUGAUUACGUUUUGCCCACUCGCUUUGAAAUGACACCAUUCUGGCCCUUUUCUUUCAGCUUGUCCCACCAAUCCUUAGGAAAACUGUUUGCCAGGCUCUGAUUAAACCCUGCAUGUAGCAAAGUCCCACUGGGAUCCCAAACAACUUCACGUGUCCAUUCUCUUCCCUUCUCCUCUGCUGAGCAGCCCUAUCCCUCUGACGUCCCCAUGGGGACAGGACAUGCCUCACUAUACACAAGUGCAUAUAUUCAUCUCCCAUAAUAAAUAUGCAGUUUUGCCAGCAGCAAUGACUCCUGACCAUCAUUCCCCCAGGCAGAUGGAUGCAUUGGAAGAAACCAUCUUGUAAUGUCAGCCGGGCUCCGUCUGGGAGCAUGGCAUCAGCUGGGAAGCCAAUGCUGCUGCUCCCCAUUAGGCUUAUUCGCUAUCUGUGUUGCUGGGCCAUUAAAGGAGCUGUGUGAAAGCUGUCUGGCUGUUCACAGGAGCAGUGGAGCAGCGGGAGAGACAGCAGCCGUCCCUCAAA
This is a long non-coding RNA of Lagopus muta (rock ptarmigan), 1175 nucleotides long. RefSeq lists it as uncharacterized. NCBI's taxonomy places the organism in Eukaryota, Metazoa, Chordata, Aves, Galliformes, Phasianidae. The transcript has 4 exons. The record is from RefSeq and is a predicted model, not a curated record.